GUCUACUGCCAUACCACCCUGAAUGCGCCCGAUCUCUUCUGAUCUCGGAAGCUAUGGAUGGUUGGGCCUGGUUAGUACUUGGAUGGGAGACGACAUGGGAAUACCGAGUGCUGUAGGUU
This is a ribosomal RNA of Cercocebus atys (sooty mangabey), 119 nucleotides long. The record is from Ensembl. NCBI's taxonomy places the organism in Eukaryota, Metazoa, Chordata, Mammalia, Primates, Cercopithecidae.